Non-coding RNA from Misgurnus anguillicaudatus (oriental weatherfish), 2147 nucleotides. Lineage: Eukaryota; Metazoa; Chordata; Actinopteri; Cypriniformes; Cobitidae. The record is from RefSeq and is a predicted model, not a curated record.
AGGUGACGAUCUUUUUAAGGGCGGAACCAAAGUUAGGGAAGUUUUGGUUCCGCCCGGAAGGUUUCCCUACCGGGCCACAGACGAGGACGGACCUUCUCACUUCCUGGUUUCCAGGACAACAGAAUCAGGGCUUGACGAGCCGCAGGUGAGAGGAAUGAAGCCAGCGAAGGGUGAUUGGAGGCCGUAUGGAAUAAAUAGCUCUGUUAGAACACAGAGAGAGAAGCGAUUGACACGGAGCGAUGUACAUGUGAAGCAGUUGACACGGGGGAAGCUCCUUUGCCAAAGGCAAAUGAAGACACGCACCUUUUGAAGAGCCCGAGGGCUCUGUUGAUCCGGCGAUCGCUGAAGCGGGCGGAAAGAGGACAGAGCCAAGGAAGGUGAAAGGAAGGCAGGCCGUGGAUCUUAAACAAGGAGCACCCCGAAGUCGUGUCGAUUAUUCCUGUUGUUGAUUUACGUGGAGGGAAAUACCGAAGACCUUAAAGGUAGAAGAGGUAAACGAAUACUGACCUUGGAUGAAAGCAACGAAGGAAGGAAAGGCGCACCGUUGUCAGUACAUGACUGUGGAAAAGUAGUGUUGGCGGCUGGAAAAACGCCCUGUCUGUGCAUUUGGAAUUAUCACAACGUGAAGUCAACCUAGGACAAAGGAAGUACAACAGUUGUGAGUAACGAAGUCUUCUUAUAGAAGUAUUGUGCAUAUGGUUGACCUGUAUAUCUCUUUGAGUGUCUUUCAAAAGAGAGUGGGCGGCCCUAUCCCUGAGCCAGCGCGGUGGGUGAGCCGAAGGGUCUUUGUGAAACAGCUCCAGUGACGAAAAGCAAACACUAGGCCGAGUUGCCAUCUCUAUCUCUCCGUCCAGAGCGAAGGAAAGGAAGACGGGCGUCUAUUGUGUGCACUGAGUGGUGGGUGAGUCUUGGAUGUAGAAAUAUUCACUUGAAGUGGUGCUGUGUAAUGCUGUGUAUUGCAGUGGGAUUGCUGUGGUCGUGUCUGACGUACCCCCGCCUCCAGUCACUCGCUCCAGAGACGACGAAGAGAAAAACGGUCCUAGAGUAAGACCUGUACAUAAUUAUGCUGUGAGUGUGUUUCAGUCUUCAAAUCACGGAGUGUGUCUCAAAGUAUUUUCCCAGCUAAACGCUCGGCGGACUUGAGCUUAGGAGUGGCGGUGAAGAACUGUGCUACUGACGGUGCGUGAGUAUCAUCCAUGAUAUUGUUCCCUUACCUGUGUCUUUUUGAUCAACAUAGAGCCUGAGGCGAAGGAGAUCCGCCGGCCCGAGGUCUCGACGAAAGGGCGCCCCGGUCCAGUUUUCGAUCGACCAACGGGUCUCGAGGAAAGGGCAGCGCUCGACCCGGUGAGCCGGCGUGACGGUUCUCGCCCCUCUAUAGACCAACGAGCUCGCCGAGAGGGUUUUGGCCCCCGGCGCCACCUAGGAAACCACCGUCUAGUUGACGCACCGCAUAGCCAGCCACCGUAAGUCCGCCCCCUGUUCAGUGAAAUAUAACCUGUUAAAACUGCCUGAUCGACAGGAAAGAGGAGUGUGUCGUGAAGAUCUGUGAAGAGAGAGAGACAGCGUGAAUGUCGAGUCAUCUGUGGAGAGAGGGAGACAGCGUGAAUGUCGAGAUAACGAACUGUGAAGAGAGCCAUACCUACCCAAAGCUGUAGUCAGCGACGAGGUGAGAGAAACCAUUGGGAACCGAGUCACUGUGCCCUUGUGUCUCAGCAGUCAUCUGUGGAAAGAGAGAGACAGCGUGAGCACUGAGAUACCGAACUGUGAAGAGAGCCUUACCUACCAAACGCUGUAGUCAGCGCAGAGGUGAGAGAACCAUUGGAGACCGAUUCAUUGUACCUUUGUGUCCCAGCAGUCAUCUGUGGAAAGAGAGAGAGAGCCAGUGUGAGCACUGAGAUACCGAACUGUGAAGAGAGCCUUACCUACCAAACGCUGUAGUCAGCGCAGAGGUGAGAGAACCAUUGGAGACCGAUUCAUUGUGCCUUCGUGUCCCAGCAGACAUCUGUGGAAAGAGAGAGAGAGCCAGCGUGAACGCUGAGAUGCCGAGCUGUGAAGAGAGCCUAGAGGGGCCGUUCUUUUAAGUUCCCCUUUCUCCCUGCCCUAUUUAUUAUUUUUAACUAAAUUAAAUAAAGUACAUUUUAAUUUAU